Molecule: ribosomal RNA, 814 nt
Filed under: Dacrymyces corticioides
Lineage: Eukaryota; Fungi; Basidiomycota; Dacrymycetes; Dacrymycetales; Dacrymycetaceae
Description: partial 28S ribosomal RNA
Rfam family: Eukaryotic large subunit ribosomal RNA
Source: RNAcentral
CCUAGUAACUGCGAGUGAAGCGGGAAAAGCUCAAAUUUAAAAUCUGGCGCAAGCCCGAGUUGUAACCUAGAGAAGUGUUUUCGGCCGUUGUACUUGGACAAGUCCCUUGGAACAGGGCGUCAUAGAGGGUGAGAAUCCCGUGCUUGCCAAGCUCACAAUGUCUAUGCGAUACGCUUUCGAAGAGUCGAGUUGUUUGGGAAUGCAGCUCAAAUUGGGUGGUAAAUUCCAUCUAAAGCUAAAUAUUGGCGAGAGACCGAUAGCGAACAAGUACCGUGAGGGAAAGAUGAAAAGAACUUUGGACAGAGAGUUAAACAGUACGUGAAAUUGCUGAAAGGGAAGCGCUUGAAGUCAGUCGCGUCGGCAGGGACUCAGCCUUAACCGGUGCAUUUCCUUGUCGACGGGCCAACAUCGAUUUCGACCGUGGGAGAAGGGCUUGAGGAAAGUGGCAGCUUCGGUUGUGUUAUAGCCUCCUGUCGUAUGCCACGGUCGGGAUCGAGGACCGCGGCUCUUGCCUAGGAUGUUGGCGUAAUGGCUUUAAGCGACCCGUCUUGAAACACGGACCAAGGAGUCUAACAUGUCUGCGAGUGUUCGGGUGUCAAACCCGUGCGCGCAAUGAAAGUAAACGUAGGUGGGAGGCCUCGGCCGCACCAUCGACCGAUCCGGAUCUUUUGGGAUGGAUUUGAGUAAGAGCAUAUAUGUUGGGACCCGAAAGAUGGUGAACUAUGCCUGAAUAGGGCGAAGCCAGAGGAAACUCUGGUGGAGGCUCGUAGCGAUUCUGACGUGCAAAUCGAUCGUCAAAUUUGGGUAUAGGGGC